AGCCUUGUAGUCAACAAUGAUACUAGACUGCAAUUCUAGAGGAGUAAACAUUAAAGGUUCACUAAGGCUU
This 70-nucleotide transfer RNA is filed under the name Paragnetina indentata. RNAcentral's name for it is "tRNA-Cys". The record is from RNAcentral. Lineage: Eukaryota; Metazoa; Arthropoda; Insecta; Plecoptera; Perlidae.